UAGAGCAGUUUGGUAGCUCAUAAGGCUCAUAACCUUGGGGUUGCAGGUUCGAUUCCC
This 57-nucleotide transfer RNA is filed under the name Psathyrostachys juncea. RNAcentral describes it as "tRNA-fMet". It matches the Rfam family "tRNA", at positions 8 to 61 of the family's 71-position model. From Rfam's summary of the family: Transfer RNA (tRNA) molecules are approximately 80 nucleotides in length. Their secondary structure includes four short double-helical elements and three loops (D, anti-codon, and T loops). The record is from RNAcentral. RNAcentral also lists the same sequence under 21 other names. Lineage: Eukaryota; Viridiplantae; Streptophyta; Magnoliopsida; Poales; Poaceae.